AUUGAACGCUGGCGGCAGGCCUAACACAUGCAAGUCGAACGAGUGGCGGACGGGUGAGUAAUGUCUGGGAAACUGCCUGAUGGAGGGGGAUAACUACUGGAAACGGUAGCUAAUACCGCAUACCAUCAGAUGUACCCAUAUGGGAUUAGCUAGUUGGUGGGGUAAAGGCUCACCUAGGCGACGAUCUCUAGCUGGUCUGAGAGGAUGAACAGCCACACUGGAACUGAGACACGGCCCAGACUCCUACGGGAGGCAGCAGUGGGGAAUAUUGCACAAUGGGCGCAAGCCUGAUGCAGCCAUGCCGCGUGUAUGAAGAAGGCCUUCGGGUUGUAAAGUACUUUCAGCGGGGAGGCGUUACCCGCAGAAGAAGCACCGGCUAACUCCGUGCCAGCAGCCGCGGUAAUUC
This 406-nucleotide ribosomal RNA is filed under the name uncultured bacterium. RNAcentral's name for it is "partial 16S ribosomal RNA". It matches the Rfam family "Bacterial small subunit ribosomal RNA", at positions 30 to 526 of the family's 1533-position model. The record is from RNAcentral.